Non-coding RNA from Brassica napus (rape), 104 nucleotides. Lineage: Eukaryota; Viridiplantae; Streptophyta; Magnoliopsida; Brassicales; Brassicaceae. The record is from Rfam.
GUCCUUUCGGGCACAUUCGAUAAAAUUGGAAUCAUACAAAAAAGAUUAGCAUGACCACUGCGCACGGAUGAGACACACAAAUUCGAGAAAUAGUCCAAUUUUUU